GAUGGAUGCUGGCGGCGUGCUUAACACAUGCAAGUCGAACGGAAAGGCCCAAGCUUGCUUGGGUGCUCGAGUGGCGAACGGGUGAGUAACACGUGGGUGAUCUGCCCUGCACUUUGGGAUAAGCCUGGGAAACUGGGUCUAAUACCGGAUAGGACCAUCGUUUAGUGUCGGUGGUGGAAAGUUUUUCGGUGUGGGAUGAGCUCGCGGCCUAUCAGCUUGUUGGUGGGGUAAUGGCCUACCAAGGCGUCGACGGGUAGCCGGCCUGAGAGGGUGUACGGCCACAUUGGGACUGAGAUACGGCCCAGACUCCUACGGGAGGCAGCAGUGGGGAAUAUUGCACAAUGGGCGCAAGCCUGAUGCAGCGACGCCGCGUGGGGGAUGACGGCCUUCGGGUUGUAAACUCCUUUCGCCAAGGACGAAGCGUUUUGUGACGGUACUUGGAGAAGAAGCACCGGCUAACUACGUG
This 466-nucleotide ribosomal RNA is filed under the name uncultured bacterium. Its description in RNAcentral is "partial 16S ribosomal RNA". It matches the Rfam family "Bacterial small subunit ribosomal RNA", at positions 28 to 507 of the family's 1533-position model. The record is from RNAcentral.